AUCGAGAGGGACACGGGGAAACACCACCAUGCUUAUAAUAAUUCUGCCGGAGCGACCGCACUGUGGUUUACCAGAUGGCGUGUGUCCCAAUCUUUCACAACAUUAGCGAGAAGGCUUUUUUG
This 122-nucleotide unclassified non-coding RNA is filed under the name Escherichia coli. RNAcentral describes it as "Non-regulatory RNA from Escherichia coli (PDB 8ABZ, chain R)". The record is from RNAcentral. Lineage: Bacteria; Pseudomonadati; Pseudomonadota; Gammaproteobacteria; Enterobacterales; Enterobacteriaceae.